This 244-nucleotide long non-coding RNA is filed under the name Homo sapiens (human). Its description in RNAcentral is "HSALNT0290258". The record is from RNAcentral. Lineage: Eukaryota; Metazoa; Chordata; Mammalia; Primates; Hominidae.
CGGAAACCCCAUCUGGGGAGCUGUUCUGCAAAGCUGCACCUUAUCCACCUCCUGGAGCAAAACACGAGCUACCUGCCGGGGACUGUUCAGAGUGCUUCCUGCGAAGUCUCCCACUCAGAAGUCACAGCGAUCCUAGGAGGUAGAUCUAUUCCUGUGCCCGUUUUACAGACAAGGAAACUGAGGCAGAGUUUUGGUAACCGGACUUGCCUUUGGAACCCAGCCGCCAUGCUGUGAGGAAGCCCAG